UGAGUAACCUGCCCUUAACUCUGGGAUAAGCCUGGGAAACUGGGUCUAAUACCGGAUAUGACUCCUCAUCGCAUGGUGGGGGGUGGAAAGCUUUUUGUGGUUUUGGAAGGACUCGCGGCCUAUCAGCUUGUUGGUGAGGUAAUGGCUCACCAAGGCGACGACGGGUAGCCGGCCUGAGAGGGUGACCGGCCACACUGGGACUGAGACACGGCCCAGACUCCUACGGGAGCAG
Molecule: ribosomal RNA, 232 nt
Filed under: uncultured bacterium
Lineage: Bacteria
Description: partial 16S ribosomal RNA
Rfam family: Bacterial small subunit ribosomal RNA
Source: RNAcentral